GGGCCCAUGGUCUAGCGGUUAUGACGGCGCUCUCACACAGCGCAGAUCACCGGUUCAAAUCCGGUUGGGCCCACCA
RNAcentral lists this transfer RNA (76 nucleotides) under Thermoplasmata archaeon. RNAcentral's name for it is "tRNA-Val". It matches the Rfam family "tRNA". From Rfam's summary of the family: Transfer RNA (tRNA) molecules are approximately 80 nucleotides in length. Their secondary structure includes four short double-helical elements and three loops (D, anti-codon, and T loops). Further hydrogen bonds mediate the characteristic L-shaped molecular structure. tRNAs have two regions of fundamental functional importance: the anti-codon, which is responsible for specific mRNA codon recognition, and the 3' end, to which the tRNAs corresponding amino acid is attached (by aminoacyl-tRNA synthetases). tRNAs cope with the degeneracy of the genetic code in two manners: having more than one tRNA (with a specific anti-codon) for a particular amino acid; and 'wobble' base-pairing, i.e. permitting non-standard base-pairing at the 3rd anti-codon position. The record is from RNAcentral. Lineage: Archaea; Methanobacteriati; Thermoplasmatota; Thermoplasmata.